RNAcentral lists this unclassified non-coding RNA (264 nucleotides) under Hevea brasiliensis (rubber tree). The record is from RNAcentral. Lineage: Eukaryota; Viridiplantae; Streptophyta; Magnoliopsida; Malpighiales; Euphorbiaceae.
GUUUGCACGUUUGCUUGCAGGUGAGCCAGCACUAGCACCACCAAUAUCUUAUUUUUAUAAUACACGAUGCGAAAAUGCUCUUUCUUCCUUUAGAAAGGAAAGAUAAACUUUCUUUAGAGCCAUAUCUUGGUGGAAUAGUGAAAAAUAGUCAGUGCUUUAAUUUUCAAGAGACUUGAUAAUAAACUGUGCGAGUAUAGUUGGUUGUAAAAUUUACUUUCCCCAGUUGAUUCUAUCCUGCAUGAGUUUUAGGCCCUCGAAGUAAUU